CUGUGCUUCCCUUGCCCAAGCCGAGAGUGGCCUGUUCCCAGGGGGCAGGCUUCCUCCUUGGUUGGCAGCCAGGAGUCUGGAGCGCAGGUGCCGGGCAGGCAGCACUGGGAGCGCUCGGCGACUUAGCUGGAGGCCUAAGGAGCCACCCCUCACGGACCAGAGCGCCUUUGCAAGGAAUACAGUCCACCAUUAAGACGGUGACUCAUGUACUUGGACCAAACAUAAAGAAGGUCUUGACUUUCAUACCUGGAGCCAGAAAAUGUAUGGAAUUUUGAAUCUCAUUUCUGGACCUGCUUGCAGGCGUGAUUGUGACAUAUACCUUGGUCCAGCACCUGAGUGAUUUGACUAUCCUGCCUGGGUAAAGCCUCAAAAUGGAAUUGUGACACAUGCCUGGUGCAAGCAUCUAAGGUAUUUUACUCUCCUGCGUAGACCCUGUCCUCAGGGAGAAUUGUGACAUCCUGCUGGACCCAUCGCCUAGGUUAUAUAUUCUCUCCUGCCUGGGCCCUUUACACAGGGUGGAUUGUGACAUAUUGCUGUGUCCUGCAUGCAGAUAAUGUGACUUUCCUGCCUGAACCCUGCCCACAGAAGGCACUGUGAAAUACUCCUGGGCCCAGUACCCAGGUUAUGUGACUUUACUGCCACAGCCCUGCCCACAGAGUGGACAUUGACGUAUUUUUGGUCCAGCAUUCAGGUGAUCUGAAUCUCUUGCCUGCUCCAUUCACACAGCUUAAAUUUAGACAUAUGUAUUUUCAAGCUCUUAGACAUUAUAGUCAAGCUUAUAUGGGAACCCAG
Molecule: long non-coding RNA, 792 nt
Filed under: Homo sapiens (human)
Lineage: Eukaryota; Metazoa; Chordata; Mammalia; Primates; Hominidae
Description: HSALNT0257348
Source: RNAcentral